AGUGAACGCUGGCGGUAGGCCUAACACAUGCAAGUCGAACGGCAGCACAGUAAGAGCUUGCUCUUACGGGUGGCGAGUGGCGGACGGGUGAGGAAUACAUCGGAAUCUACUUUUUCGUGGGUGAUAACGUAGGGAAACUUACGCUAAUACCGCAUACGACCUACGGGUUAAAUCAGUGGAUCUUCGGACCUUGCGCGAUUGAAUGAGCCGAUGUCGGAUUAGCUAGUUGGCUGGGUAAAGGCCCACCAAGGCGACGAUCCGUAGCUGGUCUGAGAGGAUGAUCAGCCACACUGGAACUGAGACACGGUCCAGACUCCUACGGGAGGCAGCAGUGGGGAAUAUUGGACAAUGGGCGCAAGCCUGAUCCAGCCAUACCGCGUGGGUGAAGAAGGCCUUCGGGUUGUAAAGCCCUUUUGUUGGGAAAGAAAAGCAGCAGGUUAAUACCCCGCUGUUCUGACGGUACCCAAAGAAUAAGCACCGGCUAACUUCGUG
Molecule: ribosomal RNA, 492 nt
Filed under: uncultured bacterium
Lineage: Bacteria
Description: partial 16S ribosomal RNA
Rfam family: Bacterial small subunit ribosomal RNA
Source: RNAcentral